Long non-coding RNA from Pantherophis guttatus, 493 nucleotides. RefSeq lists it as uncharacterized. NCBI's taxonomy places the organism in Eukaryota, Metazoa, Chordata, Lepidosauria, Squamata, Colubridae. The record is from RefSeq and is a predicted model, not a curated record.
UUCCAAUAAAAAUGUGAUGGUGGGGGCUAACUAGGGGUGGGAUUCAGCUGAUUUGGACUGGUUCGGAUGUUAAUUUUAAUCUGGUUCGCUGAACCGGUUGUUCUAAGGACUGGCUGACUCUACCCACCCCACCCCUCCCAGGAGUCUCCAGAUGGCCCAUUUUGGAUGCCAGAUACGAUAGUUGAGCAGUUCAGACAUUUAAGCCUCAUCAUCUUAAAAUCAGUAUUUGGAAAACUCACAAUAAAGGUGUGUUACCAAUAAAAAAGGAAGCUGGGAAGACAGCAAAUUUACUUUUAACACCCAGAGAUGAGUUCUCAGAAACAACACAAACAGAAGCAAGAAUCUUUCCCAAGGCCAGGACCCAGACUUUCAUUUAACUACUGUAUCUUUAAACAUCAAAAGCAGGGCCCUGAAGCACCUAGAUGCAGUUCUUUGGGGAGUUCCAAUAUCACUUGUACCUAUAAUCCAGGAAAUAAAGAUUGUGUAUAAUAAA